This 292-nucleotide ribosomal RNA is filed under the name uncultured bacterium. RNAcentral describes it as "partial 16S ribosomal RNA". It matches the Rfam family "Bacterial small subunit ribosomal RNA", at positions 505 to 796 of the family's 1533-position model. The record is from RNAcentral.
GUGUCAGCAGCCGCGGUAAUACGAAGGGUGCGAGCGUUAAUCGGAAUUACUGGGCGUAAAGCGCGCGUAGGUGGUUUGGUAAGCGAUAUGUGAAAUCCCCGGGCUCAACCUGGGAACUGCAUGUCGAACUGCCAGGCUAGAGUAUAGUAGAGGAGUGUGGAAUUCCCGGUGUAGCGGUGAAAUGCGUAGAUAUCGGGAGGAACAUCAGUGGCGAAGGCGGCACUCUGGACUGAUACUGACACUGAGGCGCGAAAGCGUGGGUAGCGAACAGGAUUAGAAACCCCUGUAGUCC